Molecule: long non-coding RNA, 115 nt
Organism: Amphimedon queenslandica
Lineage: Eukaryota; Metazoa; Porifera; Demospongiae; Haplosclerida; Niphatidae
Exons: 4
Source: RefSeq, a predicted model, not a curated record
AAGGGGGACAGAGACAAAGAGGAGGGUGGAGAUAGUCAAAAGGAGAAUGAAUCAAACGGCUUAAUAGCUAUGAGAAGGACUAUUAAGCUAAAAAGCAAGAAGAAAGAAGGAAGGC